GAUAUUUGUUAUUAGAGGUUCCCUAAAUGAAUAAGAACACGAGAAAUUUAGAAAACAUUUAAAAUGCAAAAUGGAAUUUCCUAGUUGGUUUGAUUACAGAGCUGAAUCUCUGAAAUAUGAACAAAAGACACAAAUAAACGUAAACCAGAAAGAUCUAAUCAGAAAAAGCCAUUUUUCCUCAGAAUAUGAACAAUAGUAAUUUCUUGCCUCAUUAGUUAGCAAAUUUUUAGAGAAAUAUUUCAUAACACCAACAAAUAUUAUAGCUGGCAGAGUGGAUUUAUCGGACAUGUUACCCUUGCUGAAAUUGUUCCAUGAAAAGGAAUUGAUUUAGAGAUGAUAAACAGGUUAACUUUAGGAAGAUGUAGGCAAGUUCAAGUUAUAACAAAUAAGAGCCAUCAAUCAGGUCUCAGCACCAACUAAAAGAGACCAGAUAAUUAGCAGUGAAAAAAAGAGAGAGAGAGAGAGA
This 466-nucleotide unclassified non-coding RNA is filed under the name Hevea brasiliensis (rubber tree). The record is from RNAcentral. Lineage: Eukaryota; Viridiplantae; Streptophyta; Magnoliopsida; Malpighiales; Euphorbiaceae.